RNAcentral lists this ribosomal RNA (500 nucleotides) under uncultured bacterium. RNAcentral describes it as "partial 16S ribosomal RNA". It matches the Rfam family "Bacterial small subunit ribosomal RNA", at positions 30 to 523 of the family's 1533-position model. The record is from RNAcentral.
AUUGAACGCUGGCGGCAUGCCUUACACAUGCAAGUCGAACGGUAACGGGUCCUUCGGGAUGCCGACGAGUGGCGAACGGGUGAGUAAUAUAUCCGAACGUGCCCAGUAGUGGGGGAUAACUGCUAGAAAGAGCAGCUAAUACCGCAUACGAACUGAGGGUGAAAGGGGGGGAUCGCAAGACCUCUCGCCAUUGGAGCGGCCUAUAUCAGAUUAGCUAGUUGGUGGGGUAAAGGCCUACCAAGGCAACGAUCUGUAGUUGGUCUGAGAGGACGACCAGCCACACUGGGACUGAGACACGGCCCAGACUCCUACGGGAGGCAGCAGUGGGGAAUUUUGGACAAUGGGCGCAAGCCUGAUCCAGCAAUGCCGCGUGCAGGAAGAAGGCCUUCGGGUUGUAAACUGCUUUUGUCAGGGAAGAAAUCUUCUGGGCUAAUACCCCGGGAGGAUGACGGUACCUGAAGAAUAAGCACCGGCUAACUACGUGCCAGCAGCCGCGGUAA